AUUGAACGCUGGCGGCAGGCCUAACACAUGCAAGUCGAACGAGUGGCGGACGGGUGAGUAAUGUCUGGGACACUGCCUGAUGGAGGGGGAUAACUACUGGAAACGGUAGCUAAUACCGCAUACCAUCGGAUGUGCCCAGGUGGGAUUAUCUAGUAGGGGGGGUAACGGCUCACCUGGGCGACGAUCCCUAGCUGGUCUGAGAGGAUGACCAGCCACACUGGGACUGAGACACGGGCCAGACUCCUACGGGAGGCAGCAGUGGGGAAUAUUGCACAAUGGGCGCAAGCCUGAUGGAGCCAUGCCGCGUGUAUGAAGAAGGCCUUCGGGUUGUAAAGUACUUUCAGCGGGGAGGCGUUACCCGCAGAAGAAGCACCGGCUAACUCCGUGCCAGCCGCCGCGGUAAUAC
This 406-nucleotide ribosomal RNA is filed under the name uncultured bacterium. Its description in RNAcentral is "partial 16S ribosomal RNA". It matches the Rfam family "Bacterial small subunit ribosomal RNA", at positions 30 to 526 of the family's 1533-position model. The record is from RNAcentral.